AUGGCUGGGAAUAAAGGAAGAGGAGGAUGUGCUGCUCAUACCUUUAAUACUGAGGCUGUUGGAUUUAGCAAAGGUGAAAAGUUACCUUAUGUAGUGUUGAAACCACCCCCACUAUUUCCUGAUGCAGAUUAUAAAUCAGUGCCACUGAAAACAGAAGAUGAAGAAUACAUGCUGGCUUUGAAACAGGAGUUGAGAGAAACAAUGAAAAGAAUGCCUUAUUUUAUUGAAACACCUGAAGAAAGACAAGAUAUUGAAAGGUAUAGUAAAAGAUACAUGAAGGUAUAUAAAGAAGAAUGGAUACCAGAUUGGAGAAGACUUCCAAGAGAGAUAACGCCAAGAAAUAAAUGUAAAAACACAGGCCCAAAACCCGAAAAGGCAAAAGACGCAGGCAAAGUCACCUCACUAAUACUUCAGAUGUGUUGAAAAAAAUUGAGGAAUUGGGAAAGAAAGGUGAUGGUGAAAAUUCAGAAGAGGAAAAUGAAAAGGAAGAAGGAAGCAAAGAGGAAAGUAAAGAAGGUGAUGAUGACGAUGACGAUGAUGCUGCAGAACAGGAGGGAUAUAAUGAAGAAGAGCAAGAAGAGGAAAAUGACUACAUUAAUUCAUAAUUCGAAGAUGGAAAUGAUUUUGGCCCAGACAGUGAUGACAACAUGGAUGAAGCAACCUAUUAG
This 668-nucleotide long non-coding RNA is filed under the name Homo sapiens (human). Its description in RNAcentral is "non-protein coding lnc-CTIF-4:1". The record is from RNAcentral. Lineage: Eukaryota; Metazoa; Chordata; Mammalia; Primates; Hominidae.